GCCGCCGUAGCUCAGUGGCAGAGCGCCGCCUUGGUAAGGCGGAGGCCUCGGGUUCAACCCCCGACGGUGGCUCCA
This 75-nucleotide transfer RNA is filed under the name Mycolicibacterium mageritense. Its description in RNAcentral is "tRNA-Thr". It matches the Rfam family "tRNA". Rfam says of the family: Transfer RNA (tRNA) molecules are approximately 80 nucleotides in length. Their secondary structure includes four short double-helical elements and three loops (D, anti-codon, and T loops). Further hydrogen bonds mediate the characteristic L-shaped molecular structure. tRNAs have two regions of fundamental functional importance: the anti-codon, which is responsible for specific mRNA codon recognition, and the 3' end, to which the tRNAs corresponding amino acid is attached (by aminoacyl-tRNA synthetases). tRNAs cope with the degeneracy of the genetic code in two manners: having more than one tRNA (with a specific anti-codon) for a particular amino acid; and 'wobble' base-pairing, i.e. permitting non-standard base-pairing at the 3rd anti-codon position. RNAcentral also lists the same sequence under 2 other names. The record is from RNAcentral. Lineage: Bacteria; Bacillati; Actinomycetota; Actinomycetes; Mycobacteriales; Mycobacteriaceae.